UGUAACUAAAUACAGCAAAUUACUGUAGAUGUAUAUCAGCGGGAAUCCCACCACUUCCUGAUGGAUGUACGUCUCUCUGUGUUCAUACUCUUUUUUUUUUUUUUUUUUUUUUCAUAAAUCCCGGUAAUUAUUUGCAUUAACACAGACAUGGGCAGACUCUGUUUGAUCUCGGAGCAUUUCUAGAGGAAAAAUGCACUGUCAGCGUCUAUUGUUAUGCUCAGUUUAUAAUGGAUGACACAGAGACAACUGCAGCCCCGAUGCCCCGCAAAGCUGUCUGAGGAAAGCUGCAUUUGAGCAGAGCUGAAAGUCCCAUCAAAUUAAUGCUGACUUAAUCCUGAGUGCCCAGCUCUGACUGACGACAACUUCUCCUUCUAUCUGUAUACAUUUUUUGUUUCCUUUUCAACUGCUGUAAAUGUUGUGUAGUCUUCUACUUAAAAGGAUAGUUCAUCCAAAAAUGAAAAUUCUCUCAUCAUUUACUCACCCUCGUGUCAUCCCAGAUGUGUAUGACUUUCUUUCUUCAGCAGAACACAAAUUAAGAUUUUAAGAAGAAUAACUCAGCUCUGUAUCCUUACAGUGUAAGUGAAUGGUGGCCAGAACUUUGAAGCUCCAAAAAGCAUACAAGGGCAGGAUAAAAUAUUCCAUAGGACUGAAUAUAUUGCUAUUCUGAGAUGCGGGUUGGUGCUGUUUUGACGGUACGAGGGGGACCUACACAAUAUUAGGCAGGUGGUUUUAAUGAUGUGGCUGAUCAGUGUAUUUAGUGUUACAUAUGGCUAGCUGUAAAAUUAAAUGUGUAUUGUACUAUUUUACUAUAUAUAUAUAUAUACAGUAUGUACACUGGUGGCCAAAAGUUUGGAAUAAUGUACAGAUUUUGCUCUUAUGGAAUGAAUUGGUACUUUUAUUUACCAAAGUGGCAUUAAUUAAACUGAUCACAAUGUAUAGUCAGGACAUUAAUAAUGUGAAAAAUUACUAUUACAAUUUGAAAAAAAUAUUCAGAACUUCUUAAACUACUUCAAAGAGUUCUCAUCACAAAAUCUGCCACGUGCAGCAAUGACAGCUUUGCAGAUCCUUGAUAUUCUAGCUGUCAGUUUGUCCAGAUACUCAGGUGACAUUUCACCCCACACUUCCUGUAGCACUUGCCAUAGAUGUGACUGUCUUGUCGGGCACUUCUCACACACCUUACAGUCUAACUGAUCCCACAAAAGCUCAAUGGGGUUAAGAUCCAUAACACUCUUUUCUAAUUAUCUGUUGUCCAAUGUCUGUGUUUCUUUGCCCACUCUAACCUUUUCUUUUUGUUUUUCUGUUUCAAAAGUGGCUUUUUCUUUGCAAUUCUUCCCGUAAGGCCUGCACCCUUGAGUCUUCUCUUUACUGUUGUACAUGAAACUGUUGUUGAGCGGGUAGAAUUCAAUGAAGCUGUCAGCUGAGGACAUGUGAGGCGUCUAUUUCUCAAACUAGAGACUCUGAUGUACUUAUCCUCUUGUUUAGUUGUACAUCUGGCCUUCCACAUCUCUUUCUGUCCUUGUAGAGCCAGUUGUCAUUUGUCUUUGAAGACUGUAGUGUACACCUUUGUAUGAAAUCUUCAGAUUUUUGGCAAUUUCAAGCAUUGUAUAGCCUUCAUUCCUCAAAACAAUGAUUGACUGAUGAGUUUCUAGAGAAAGCUGUUUCUUUUUGCCAUUUUUGACCUAAUAUUGACCUUAACACAUGCCAGUCUAUUGCAUACUGUGGCAACUCAAAAACAAACACAAAGACAACGUUAAGCUUCAUUUAAUGAACCAAAUAGCUUUCAACUGUGUUUGAUAUAAUGGCAAGUGAUUUUCUAGUACCAAAGUAGCAAUUUAGCAUGAUUACUGAAGGAUAAGGUGUUGGAGUGAUGGCUGCUGGAAAUGGGGUCUGUUUUCAAAUAGUGAUGGUGAUGUUUUUUACAUCAGUAAUGUCCUGACUAUACAUUGUGAUCAGUUGAAUGCCACUUUAGUGAAUUAAAGUACCAAUUUCCUACCGAAACAGCGAAAUCUACAUUAUUCCAAACUUUUGGCUGCCAGUGUAUAUGAAACAUUUGCAAUGUGCCAAUUAAAUAUAACUUUUAUUGAAUUUUUUCUAAAAAAUUAACAAUUCAAAUAUGGUUAUAUAUUACAGUAACCCAUUUGUUACUGUAUAUGAUAAUUACAGAUAGUUACUGUACAAUUUAAUCAUUUUUACAGUAAUAUACUUAAGCCACCAAUUACAGUAAUCAGUAAAUAACAGUAAACAGCCACUGCAGUAGCUUACUGAACCAGGCUUUUACAGUAACUAGCUGGCAACAGUGUUGCCAGUAUGUUACUGUAAAAAAAGCCUGGUAAAGUCUAACAGUGUAGUUUUGUACUUAUUUAUUAAUCUUACUUAUGUUUAUAAUUUGAAUUUAUGGUUAAUGUUAAAUGAUUUAAUAUUUAUGAUUUUUAUAUAAAUAAUAUUACUACUAAUUGGACUUUUAGCACCUUAUUACAAACCUGGGAAAUUUAUUAUGUCAAUUCUUAUAACUACUGCAUUAUGAAUUGUGCUAUUUAUUGUUCAUUUUGUGGCAAAUACAAACUAUUAAAAAUGCUUUACUAAAUAUUA
Long non-coding RNA from Myxocyprinus asiaticus (Chinese sucker), 2589 nucleotides. RefSeq lists it as uncharacterized. The record is from RefSeq and is a predicted model, not a curated record. The transcript is spliced from 3 exons. NCBI's taxonomy places the organism in Eukaryota, Metazoa, Chordata, Actinopteri, Cypriniformes, Catostomidae.